RNAcentral lists this ribosomal RNA (2905 nucleotides) under human gut metagenome. RNAcentral describes it as "bacterial LSU rRNA". It matches the Rfam family "Bacterial large subunit ribosomal RNA". The record is from RNAcentral.
UUAAACAUUAAAGAGCGUACGGCGGAUGUCUUGGCAUAUAGAGCAGAAGAAGGACGCAGAAAACGGCGAAACGCUGCGUGGAGACGUACACAGUCAACGAAGCGCAGGUAUCCGAAUGGGGAAACCCGCCAUGCAGGAAAGUGCAUGGCAUCCUGAGGUAAAUACAUAGCCUCAGAGAGGACAACCCAGGGAAUUGAAACAUCUUAGUACCUGGAGGAGAAGAAAACAAAAGUGAUUCCGGGAGUAGUGGCGAGCGAAACUGGAGGAGCCUAAACCGGCAAAGAGCCGGGGUUGUAGGACCACAACAGAAGAAGGCAGAGAUAGACGAAUGAGAUUGAAAGCUCAGCGGAACAAGGUGCAAGCCCUGUAGUCGAAAUCGAAACUGGAACGAGUGGGAUCCUGAGUACGACGGGGCACGUGGAACCCUGUCGGAAUCGGCCUGGACCAUCAGGCAAGGCUAAAUACUCCUAUAUGACCGAUAGUGGACCAGUACCAUGAGGGAAAGAUGAAAAGAACCGCGGGAGCGGAGUGAAAUAGAACCUGAAACCGUAUGCUUACAAAAAGUCAGAGCACAUUAAAGUGUGAUGGCGUGCCUUUUGUAGAAUGAACCGGCGAGUUAUCCUUGCAUGCGAGGUUAAGCUGACAAAGCGGAGCCGAAGCGAAAGCGAAUCUUAAUAGGGUGAAAGUAUGCAGGGAUAGACCCGAAGCCGUAGUGAUCUAGUCAUGAGCAGGUUGAAGGAUAGGUAACACUAUCUGGAGGACCGAACCGACCCUCGUUGAAAAGCUGGCGGAUGACUUGUGAUUAGCGGAGAAAUUCCAAUCGAACACGGCGAUAGCUGGUUCUCCCCGAAAUAGCUUUAGGGCUAGCGUUGCGGUAAGCGUAGUGGAGGUAGAGCACUGAAUUCAUGCGGGUGGCACCUAGCUAUACCAAAUGAAAUCAAACUCCGAAUGCCAUUAUGUAGUAAGCAGCAGUCAGACUGUGGGUGAUAAGGUCCAUGGUCAAAAGGGAAACAGCCCAGACCAUCAGAUAAGGUCCCAAAAUCUACGCCAAGUGGAAAAGGAUGUGGAGACGCGUAAACAGCUAGGAGGUUGGCUCAGAAGCAGCCAUCCUUAAAAGAGUGCGUAACAGCUCACUAGUCGAGUAUCUCUGCGCCGAAAAUUAACCGGGGCUAAGCGUAGUACCGAAUCUAUGGAUUUGUGCAGCAAUGUAUAAGUGGUAGGGGAGCGUUCCAUGGAGCAUAGAAGCCAUACCGAAAGGAGUGGUGGAGCGCAUGGAAGUGAGAAUGCCGGUGUGAGUAGCGAGAUGUAGGUGAGAAUCCUACACACCGAAAGCCCAAGGAUUCCAGGGGAAGGUUCGUCCGCCCUGGGUAAGUCGGGACCUAACGCGAGGCCGAAAGGCGUAGUGGAUGGAAAGCAGGCGAAAGAUUCCUGCACCCGUAUAUGGAGCGAAGGAGUGACGGAGACGGAUAGUGUGACCCUCUUAAUGGAUUGAGGGCGAAGCGAAGCGGCUGGUUACCAGGCAAAUCCGGUAACCAUAAGGCUAGAGCGUGACAGGUAAGCGAAAUCUUCGGAAAGUAGCGAAGCACAUGAUGACGGCUUCCAGGAAAAGCUUCUGGCAAUGCAUAUGCGGCCCGUACCAAAACCGACACAGGUGGGCAGGGAGAGAAUCCCGAGGUGAGCGAGAGAACUGUUGCCAAGGAACUCGGCAAAAUGACUCCGUAAGUUAGCGAGAAGGAGUGCUUAAGCAAUUAAGCCGCAGUGAAGAGGCCCAAGCGACUGUUUAACUAAAACACAGCUCUCUGCGAAGUCGCAAGACGAAGUAUAGGGGGUGACACCUGCCCGGUGCUGGAAGGUUAAGAGGAUCUGUUAAGAGCGAUCUGAAGCAGUGAUCCGAAGCCCCAGUGAACGGCGGCCGUAACUAUAACGGUCCUAAGGUAGCGAAAUUCCUUGUCAGGUAAGUUCUGACCCGCACGAAAGGUGUAACGAUUUGGGCGCUGUCUCGGCAGCAGACUCGGUGAAAUCUUAGUACCUGUGAAAAUGCAGGUUACCCGCAACUAGACGGAAAGACCCCAUGGAGCUUUACUGCAGCCUGAUAUUGAAUUCUGGUCAUACAUGUACAGGAUAGGUGGGAGACAAAGAGACGUGCACGCCAGUGUACGAGGAGUCGACGUUGGGAUACCACUCUUGUGUGACCGGGGUUCUAACCUGGUAUCGAGAACAGGUACGGGGAGAGUGUCAGGUGGGCAGUUUGACUGGGGCGGUCGCCUCCCAAAGAGUAACGGAGGCGCCCAAAGGUUCCCUCAGCGCGGCCGGAAAUCGCGCGAAGAGUGUAAAGGCAGAAGGGAGCUUGACUGAGAGCCAAACACGGCGAUCAGGUACGAAAGUAGGGCUUAGUGAUCCGGUGGCAUCCAAGUGGAAGGGCCAUCGCUCAACGGAUAAAAGCUACCCUGGGGAUAACAGGCUAAUCUCUCCCAAGAGUCCAUAUCGACGGGGAGGUUUGGCACCUCGAUGUCGGCUCAUCACAUCCUGGGGCUGAAGUCGGUCCCAAGGGUUGGGCUGUUCGCCCAUUAAAGUGGUACGUGAGCUGGGUUCAGAACGUCGUGAGACAGUUCGGUCCCUAUCCAUCGCGGGCGCAAGAGAUUUGAAGGGGGCUGCUCCUAGUACGAGAGGACCGGAGUGGACGAACCAAUGGUGUACCAAUUAUCUCGCCAGAGGUAUAGUUGGGUAGCUACGUUCGGAAAGGAUAAACGCUGAAAGCAUCUAAGCGUGAAACCAGCCUUAAGAUGAGAUCUCUCAUAGAGUAAUCUAGUAAGACACCUUGGAGAAGACGAGGUUGAUAGGUCGGGAGUGUAAGUACAGUAAUGUAUUCAGCGGACCGAUACUAAUAUGUCGAGGGCUUGACUUG